RNAcentral lists this ribosomal RNA (253 nucleotides) under uncultured bacterium. RNAcentral's name for it is "partial 16S ribosomal RNA". It matches the Rfam family "Bacterial small subunit ribosomal RNA", at positions 524 to 776 of the family's 1533-position model. The record is from RNAcentral.
GACGGAGGGUGCUAGCGUUGUUCGGAAUGACUGGGCGUAAAGGGCGCGUAGGCGGUUGAACAAGUCAGACGUGAAAGCCUUGGGCUUAACCCAAGAACUGCGUUUGAGACUGGUUGACUUGAGGACGAGAGAGGAAAGUAGAAUUCCGAGUGUAGAGGUGAAAUUCGCAGAUAUUCGGAGGAAUACCAGAGGCGAAGGCGUCUUUCUGGCUCGUUUCUGACGCUGAGGCGCGAAAGCGUGGGGAGCGAACAGG